Molecule: ribosomal RNA, 500 nt
Filed under: uncultured Glomeromycotina
Lineage: Eukaryota; Fungi; Glomeromycota
Description: partial small subunit ribosomal RNA
Rfam family: Eukaryotic small subunit ribosomal RNA
Source: RNAcentral
CCAAUAGCGUAUAUUAAAGUUGUUGCAGUUAAAAAGCUCGUAGUUGAACUUCGGGAUCAAUUGAUUGGUCAUGCCAUUGGUAUGUACUGGUCAUAUUGGUUCUCACCUUCUAAGGAACCAUAAUGUCAUUCAUUUGAUGUUUUGGGGAAUUAGGACUGUUACCUUGAAAAAAUUAGAGUGUUUAAAGCAGGCUAACGCUUGAAUACAUUAGCAUGGAAUAAUGAAAUAGGACAUCGCAUUCUAUUUUGUUGGUUUCUAGGAUCGAUGUAAUGAUUAAUAGGGAUAGUUGGGGGCAUUAGUAUUCAAUUGUCAGAGGUGAAAUUCUUGGAUUUAUUGAAGACUAACUACUGCGAAAGCAUUUGCCAAGGAUGUUUUCAUUAAUCAAGAACGAAAGUUAGGGGAUCGAAGACGAUCAGAUACCGUCGUAGUCUUAACCAUAAACUAUGCCGACUAGGGAUCGGAUGAUGUUGAUUUUUUAAUGACUCAUUCGGCACCUUACG